UUACGGCCAUAUCACGUUGAAACACCGAUUUUCGUACAAUCACUGAAGUUAAGCAACGUCGACCAUAGUCAGUAACUAGAUGGGUGACUACUUGGGAAUACCAAUGGUUGUAUG
Acanthosepion pharaonis is the source of this 114-nucleotide non-coding RNA. The record is from the annotation of a GenBank genome assembly. NCBI's taxonomy places the organism in Eukaryota, Metazoa, Mollusca, Cephalopoda, Sepiida, Sepiidae.